CCGCCGAAAAUCUAAGGUUUCCUGAGGAAGGUUCGUCCACUCAGGGUUAGUCGGGACCUAAGCCGAGGCCGAAAGGCGUAGGCGAUGGACAACGGGUUGAGAUUCCCGUACCACCGAAAUUCGUUACGAGCAAUGUGGGGACACAGAAGGAUAAUCUGAGCGCACCGUUGGUAGAGUGCGUCCAAGCGAUAAGUUUUGAUAGUAGGCAAAUCCGCUAUCUAAAAGAAUGAGUCGUGAUGGGGAGAGAAAAAAAGUACCGAAGCAGAUGAUUUCACGCUGUCAAGAAAAUCCGCUAGCCAGAACGUAGGUGCCCGUACCGCAAACCGACACAGGUAGAUGAGGAGAGAAUCCUAAGGUGAUCGAGAGAACUAUUGUUAAGGAACUCGGCAAAAUGACCCCGUAACUUCGGGAUAAGGGGUGCCAUCGAAAGAUGGCCGCAGUGAAAUGGCCCAGGCGACUGUUUACCAAAAACACAGGUCUCUGCUAAAGCGAAAGCUGAUGUAUAGGGGCUGACGCCUGCCCGGUGCUGGAAGGUUAAGGGGAUUAGUUAGGGUAACCGAAGCUAUGAACUUAAGCCCCAGUAAACGGCGGCCGUAACUAUAACGGUCCUAAGGUAGCGAAAUUCCUUGUCGGGUAAGUUCCGACCCGCACGAAUGGCGUAAUGAUUUGGGCACUGUCUCAACUGUAAAUCCGGCGAAGUUGUAGUGCCAGUGAAGAUGCUGGCUACCCGCGAUUGGACGGAAAGACCCCGUAGAGCUUUACUGUAGUUUAGCAUUGAGUUUCGGUAUUGUCUGUACAGGAUAGGUGGGAGACUAUGAAACUGGACCGUCAGGUUCAGUGGAGUCAUCCUUGGGAUACCACCCUGGCAUUACUGGAAUUCUAACAGGACACCAUGAAUCUGGUGACUGGACAUUGCUAGAUGGGCAGUUUGACUGGGGCGGUCGCCUCCUAAAAAGUAACGGAGGCGCUCAAAGGUUCCCUCAGAACGGUCGGAAAUCGUUCGUAGAGUGCAAAGGCAGAAGGGAGCCUGACUGCGACACCUACAAGUGGAGCAGGGACGAAAGUCGGACUUAGUGAUCCGGUGGUACCUCGUGGGAGGGCCAUCGCUCAACGGAUAAAAGCUACCUCGGGGAUAACAGGCUGAUCUCCCCCAAGAGUCCACAUCGACGGGGAGGUUUGGCACCUCGAUGUCGGCUCGUCG
This 1201-nucleotide ribosomal RNA is filed under the name termite gut metagenome. RNAcentral describes it as "bacterial LSU rRNA". It matches the Rfam family "Bacterial large subunit ribosomal RNA", at positions 1334 to 2542 of the family's 2925-position model. The record is from RNAcentral.